CAGGGGAACAUCCCGUUGGGCUACGAGUGCGAGUGCGACCCCGGGUGGUCUCGGCCCAACUUCACCUUCCCUCCCCCCUUGCCGCCACACCUGUUUCUGCCCUGCGCCGUCCCCACCUGCCUAUCGAUAUCGGAGUUCACCUGCUACAGGCCCAAGCCGCCAAAUCCCGCCAACGCAACCGUACUUGACCCCUGCUCAUACACUGACUGUGGCUCGGAAGGCACGUGCGUGAGCGGAGAGGGCCGGCAGUACCGGUGCCAGUGCAACCCAGGCGCAACCAAUGUGGAAGGCGACCCUACCCGCCCUUGCAUCACCUGUGCCACCGACGACAAGGGCUGCCCGGUUUCCACCCCUACGACGACACCGGCG
Triticum dicoccoides is the source of this 369-nucleotide long non-coding RNA. RefSeq lists it as uncharacterized. The record is from RefSeq and is a predicted model, not a curated record. NCBI's taxonomy places the organism in Eukaryota, Viridiplantae, Streptophyta, Magnoliopsida, Poales, Poaceae. The transcript has 4 exons.